Non-coding RNA from Ictidomys tridecemlineatus (thirteen-lined ground squirrel), 1113 nucleotides. NCBI's taxonomy places the organism in Eukaryota, Metazoa, Chordata, Mammalia, Rodentia, Sciuridae. The record is from RefSeq and is a predicted model, not a curated record.
UCCAUUUUCAAAGGGUUGUGGCUGCUUACAGCUUUUAUGUUUAGGGUGAUGAAAAAUAUCAAACAUAAAUUUACUUCAUUGAGGAACAUUACCUAAUCCUAUGUGUGAAAACCUAGCCAUUACUCAGACAGAUCUGACAUGCAGUCUGCUUAUAUGUACAGCCCUGGUUUGUCAUCUCAUACCUGGAUCUUAAGAUUGAAAAUUCAUAUGAAAUAUCUGGAGGUAUAAAGACAAUCUGUACUGAGUCCAAAAAGUUUUCAUAUCUGAUAAUUACAGAUGAAUGGAAUUUGCUCCAAAAUAAUGCAAUUUGGAGAAUAUAGUGAGGAAAAGGUGUGUGGAGGAAUAGAUGAACAAGAAUGGCCAUGAGGCAAAAGCCAUUGAAGCUGGGAGGACAGAUUAUUUGCUCUGGGGACCACAACUACCACAUUGUGAGGACACUCACCAGACCUUUGGAGAGGCAUGUAAAAAGAGGAACUGAGGCCUCUAGCCAACAGCCAUUUGAGUUAGCUUGAAAGCAAAUCAUCCAGCCCCAAUGAAGCCUUCAGAUGACUGCAAUCCCAGGUGACAUCUGCAACCCCAUGAGAAACCCUGAGCUGCACUCCACUAAGCUGCUCCUGAAUUCCUGACGCAUACAAACUACUGUACAUUACCUACAGAAGGCACUGCACUUCUUGGCCUCUUCUUGGUCUGGAGUGGAGCAAGGGUAAAAACAGAGGAAACAGGAAGAUACUGCAGAAGCCCAUCUGCGAAUUGGCUAUAACCUCCAGUAGAAUGAUAUCCAUGAACAUGGAGAGAAGUGACCAUCCUUGGGAUCUAUUUCAGAGAAUGCGUGGCUUGGUAAUGAGGUGUCAUCACAUCAGCUUGCUAGAUCUGGGAGGAUGUGUGGUCCAGACUGUGACAUUCAUCAGCUAUUCCCACUUUCGGUGGCUUCUGUAACAACUUACCAAAAAAAAAAAAAAAAUAGAGUUGAUUAAAGCAACAGAAUUUGUCUUUCCUAGUUCUGAAGGCCAGAACUCUGAGAUGGAGAUGUCAGCAAGAUUAUGCUCCCUCGGGAGGUUCUAGAGGAAGAGUCAUUUCCUCCCUCUUUCAGCUUCUGGUGGCUGCUGGCAUUCC